GUAUGUAGAUGGGAGUAACACAGUGAGCCUAGGCUAUAAAAUGCUAAGUUUCCCUACAAUAAAUCGCCAUAUUUGCCAUCCAUCACAUUGAUGCUGUGGAAUAUGGUCCGCGCGGCUGGGAUAACCGCCUGUGCUGGAGCAGGUCAGGGUGCUUAUCUUGCUUUAAACCCAACAUCUGGUGCACGAAAUCCGGGAGAAAAAAAAAGCGGGAAGAAGCGUGAGAAGAAAUUAAAAAAGCAAGGAUACCCUGAUUCAGUGGACAGCGGCCAAGAGAGCUGGACUAUUCUUGGCAUGGAAAUCCUGGGCCCAGAAGGAUGAUGGAAUCAUCAAAAAGUUAUUUUCCUAGAGACAUGAAGACAGCUACAACUGAAACAACUGUGAACACCUGCUUGUGGACAGAAAUGAAUACAGUCUGUGACACCCUGGACUUUAUUAAGAGUUCUAUUGAGUUGUUGCAAUUCCUGCAGUUUUGUUUGCUAUAACUUUCUUAUUUUUCAGUGUUCCCAGAAUUUUAAUAAGAUGUACCAUUGGUAAGGAUCAACUGCCAUUGAAGAAGCUUCAAAUUAAACCAACUGCUGAAUGAUUUAAUUAGUCUGGUACCUAAGGUUUUUAAUUAUUUGCUUUGUACAAAUGCAUUUUAACAGUUUACUGUGCUGUAAGCAUCUCAUAGCUGUUGCUAUUGAAAACCUUGUUUUAAAAAUAAGUUAAGAGGCAUCUUUCUAGUUUAAAGUCUAAGGCCCUGGCCAAGCCUUGACUUUAUCUGGACGGAAUGUUUGCCAACAGAUCCAGAUGUUUUUGUACCAAAUCAGUAUUUGAGUCGCUUUUUAACUCAACAAUUUGACCCUAUUAAUAUGACAGCUGGAUCAAUUUUAAAGUGAGCUUGGAAAAUCAUUUCCGGAAAUGAUUGUCCAAUCCUUCACUGAUAAUUUUUGGUUUUGUUUGUUUAUUAACUAUGAGAUGCUGGUGCAGUGUUUUAAUAAUUAACAGUACUUUUAUAUUAAUUGAUUUUUAACUGUUAUAAGUUUUUACUAAUUAUGUAUAAAGUUUUGUGUUAAUGUUGAACAGAAAUACAUCUCAUUUUUAUUUUUUUAAGGAAAACGGGGGAAAUUGAUACCCUAAAAGCAAUUUGAUUAGUGUAAUUCAUUAACUUCAAGGAGAGAAGUGCCUGUGUUUUGUUGGCAGGUUCAGAAGGGUCACCUGUCCAUCUGACCAGACUGUCUGCCUCUAAACACAUGAGAUCCAGUGAGCAGAGAGGUCAUCACACAGCCUUGGUACUCCAGACAUGGAUCAGAAGUGGACCUGUCAGGACACAGUUGUGUCCAAACACUAUACAGACAGUUGCCAACAGAAAUUUUAUGUUGUUAUUAUGAUGUUGUGUCUCUAUCAAUUUCUCAGUUAUCCUUUGUUUUAAGAUUUAGAAGGGUUUGAAGAACAACUUGAACAUCAAAGCCCUCAGUCACCAAUCAGCUGCCAGCUGACAUCACGGGAGCAGUGAACAUUCCAGGACUGAAUCAUGUUGGAGAAAUUCUGUAGAAGAUUUGGGAAGUGUAGUGUAUAUACAAAUCAAAUUGUAAUUGUGUGUUUAUUCUUUUAGCAAAUUGCUUUCACGUUUAGAUUACAUAUAUACCAGAGCACGUGUGUUAAAAGUAGUUAAAUAAUAGUUUAAGGUAAAAUGUUUAGUCUGUGUAAUAAUUGUUAUGUUAGUAUAAAAUAUAAGUAUUUUUCUUUUAAGAGGUAGUAUAAGCAUCUUUAAAAGUUCAUUCAAUGUUAAAGUUUUAGCUGUGAGUUUGCAAGUAUGGUGUCAUUUACAUGGUAAGCUGCUUAUAGUAAUUGUGUUGUUUAUAGUUAUAACACCUGAAGCGGUGAGCCCCAACCUUGUGGUAGAAGCUGAAAAACCCAUGAUCUAAUAGUCUAGCCCUUGCAUUUAUACCCAAGCUUUAACUCCUCUGCUGACUUUUGUGUAUUAGCUGUUAUCAUCCCCAGAGUCCUAUACCACCUGGAUGAAGAGCUGAGCCUGCAAGUGGAGAGACUCACCCAACUUCAGAAAAGAGAAGUGGUGACAGAUGUAACCAUAGCAAUGCUGCUUAACCUGAGAGCAACUGGUACUGCCACAGGUGUCUCUGCCAUCGUGACCCAACAACAGAGACUGUUUUAGCUACACAUGACUGUAGAUGAAGAUCUACAGAGAAUUGAGAAAUCCAUAUCCUUUCUAGAAAAAUCAGUCUCCUCACUCUCUGAAGUUGUUUUGCAGAACAAGUAAAGUCUCGAUCUUCUAUUCAUGCAGCAAGGAGGCCUCUGCAUCGCCCUGAAAGAGGAGUGCUGCUUCUAUGCUGACCACACCGGAGUAGUGAGAGACACCAUGGCAGAGCUAUGAGACAGGCUGUCUCAGCAAAAAGCAGAAAGAGAAGCUCAGCAAAACUGGUUCCAAUCCUGGUUCGAUCAAGCUCCGUGGCUGACCACCCUGGUGUUUACCCUGAUUAGACCAGUUGUGAUGACUUUACUUGUGUUAAUUUUUGGACCAUGUAUUCUAAAUAAGCUUGUGUCCUUUGUUAAGAACCGAUUAGAAAAAGUUAACAUUUUGUUUAUAGAAAGGCAACAAAUGCUUUAAAGUAUA
Molecule: long non-coding RNA, 2614 nt
Organism: Cyanistes caeruleus (blue tit)
Lineage: Eukaryota; Metazoa; Chordata; Aves; Passeriformes; Paridae
Source: RefSeq, a predicted model, not a curated record